Molecule: ribosomal RNA, 323 nt
Filed under: Sandonidae sp.
Lineage: Eukaryota; Cercozoa; Glissomonadida; Sandonidae
Also listed under: 1 other name
Description: SSU rRNA
Rfam family: Eukaryotic small subunit ribosomal RNA (bases 113-323)
Source: RNAcentral
GAUUUCUGGCGAGACAUAUCUGGCCGGCCACGGUUUCGUGUGUUAGUGCUUGAUAUUCUAGCCAUCCUUCCAAUGGCUAUUCAUCCUUCUUCAUUGAGGUGGUGAGUGGUAUUGGAUCUUUUACUUUGAAAAAAUUAGAGUGUUUCAAGCAGGCUUUAUGCUGUGAAUACAUUAGCAUGGAAUAAUAAUUUAGGACUUCGGUUCUAUUUUGUUGGUUUCUAGGACUGAAGUAAUGAUUGAUAGGGAUAGUUGGGGGUGCUAGUAUUCAGCGGCCAGAGGUGAAAUUCUCGGAUUCGCUGAAGACUAACUUAUGCGAAAGCAUU